ACCUGCAUUAUUUGACGUUACCUACAGAAGAAGCACCGGCUAACUCCGUGCCAGCAGCCGCGGUAAUACGGAGGGUGCGAGCGUUAAUCGGAAUUACUGGGCGUAAAGCGCAUGCAGGCGGCCUGUUAAGUCAGAUGUGAAAGACCCGGGGCGUUAACCUCGGAAUUGCAUUUGAAACUAGGCAGGCUAGAGUCUUGUAGAGGGGGGUAGGAAGUUUCUAGGUGUAGCGGUGAAAUAGCGUAGAGAUCUGAAGGAAUACCAGUGGCGAAGGCGGCCCCCUCGGACAAAGACUGACGCUCAGAUGCGAAAGCGUGGGGAGCAAACAGGAUUAGAUACCCUGGUAG
RNAcentral lists this ribosomal RNA (344 nucleotides) under uncultured bacterium. RNAcentral's name for it is "bacterial SSU rRNA". It matches the Rfam family "Bacterial small subunit ribosomal RNA", at positions 458 to 793 of the family's 1533-position model. The record is from RNAcentral.